UACGUAGGGGGCAAGCGUUGUCCGGAUUUAUUGGGCGUAAAGAGCGUGUAGGCGGCCUGACAGGUCUGCUGUGAAAACUCGAGGCUCAACCUCGAGAUGUCGGCGGAAACCGUCUGGCUAGAGUCCGGAAGAGGAGAGUGGAAUUCAUGGUGUAGCAGUGAAAUGCGUAGAGAUCAUGAGGAAGACCAGUGGCGAAGGCGGGUCUCUGGACAGUUACUGACACUGAGGAACGAAGGCCAGGGGAGCAAACGGG
This 253-nucleotide ribosomal RNA is filed under the name uncultured bacterium. Its description in RNAcentral is "partial 16S ribosomal RNA". It matches the Rfam family "Bacterial small subunit ribosomal RNA", at positions 524 to 776 of the family's 1533-position model. The record is from RNAcentral.